AAAGAAAAUGCAGACGCUCUCCAAGCCGAUGACUUAGAAAGUGAACAUGGGAGUGCGGCUCUGUGCGUGCGUGAUGCGUGCCAGAAAGAUUCGUGGAAAAAACUGGAUGGUUGUGUGUCUGUGUGAUUGCGCGCGCCAGAUGUGGCCAUGUGAGUUGGUUCAUUCUUGGUCCCGUACCCCCUACUGUUGAGUAAAACUUGGAUCUGGCCCGAGGUGCCAGGACGAUAAAUCAACAGAUCUGACAGCCAAAUCCGGCAGACGCGUGAGCCGCUAGCCCGGCCUGUGCUGUAGCGGGAAUUCGAACUCAGCGCCCAGAG
This is a long non-coding RNA of Choloepus didactylus (southern two-toed sloth), 317 nucleotides long. RefSeq lists it as uncharacterized. The record is from RefSeq and is a predicted model, not a curated record. The transcript has 3 exons. NCBI's taxonomy places the organism in Eukaryota, Metazoa, Chordata, Mammalia, Pilosa, Megalonychidae.